CGGAUCGGAGUCUGCAACCCGACUCCGUGAAGCUGGAUUCGCUGUAAUCGCGCAUCAGCCAUGGCGCGGUGAAUACGUUCCCGGGCCUUGUACACACCGCCCGUCAAGCCAUGGGAGCCGGGGGUGCUUGAAGUGCGUCGCCGCAAGGCGCGCCCUAGAGCAAAACCGGUGACUGGGGCUAAGUCGUAACAAGGUAGC
Molecule: ribosomal RNA, 198 nt
Filed under: uncultured bacterium
Lineage: Bacteria
Description: partial 16S ribosomal RNA
Rfam family: Bacterial small subunit ribosomal RNA
Source: RNAcentral